Molecule: ribosomal RNA, 253 nt
Filed under: uncultured bacterium
Lineage: Bacteria
Description: partial 16S ribosomal RNA
Rfam family: Bacterial small subunit ribosomal RNA
Source: RNAcentral
UACGUAGGGUGCAAGCGUUAAUCGGAAUUACUGGGCGUAAAGCGUACGCAGGCGGCUGUGUAAGACAGGCGUGAAAUCCCCGGGCCUAACCUGGGAACUGCAUUUGUGACUGCAUAGCUAGAGUCUGUCAGAGGGGGGUGGAAUUCCACAUGUAGCAGUGAAAUGCGUAGAGAUGUGGAGGAACACCGAUGGCGAAGGCAGCCCCCUGGGAUAAGACUGACGCUCAUGUACGAAAGCGUGGGGAGCAAACAGG